Molecule: long non-coding RNA, 216 nt
Filed under: Elaeis guineensis (African oil palm)
Lineage: Eukaryota; Viridiplantae; Streptophyta; Magnoliopsida; Arecales; Arecaceae
Description: long non-coding RNA (EGUI_LNC081588)
Source: RNAcentral
GCCGCGGAGGCUGUGGAUCGCCUGGUGGAUGUUCUGCGGGGAGGCAUCAGGUGAAGAUCUAGUAGAAGAAGGAGAAGAGGAUGUCGGAGAAGAUGACCGAAAUCAGUCCCGUUGAGCACUCCUUUGAGAACAAGGGUACUACAAAGACACACGCCCCUCCUAGCGCCAAUUCUAUUGGUGCAGAAUUCCAUCGAAGUCAGAGAAGCUGGAGCUGGG